This is a long non-coding RNA of Peromyscus leucopus (white-footed mouse), 562 nucleotides long. RefSeq lists it as uncharacterized. The record is from RefSeq and is a predicted model, not a curated record. NCBI's taxonomy places the organism in Eukaryota, Metazoa, Chordata, Mammalia, Rodentia, Cricetidae. The transcript has 3 exons.
CCAGAAGGAAGUUCUGUUCCUGCAUGUCAAUGAUGGAUCCUCUUUGGAAAGCCUUCAGAGAAUUGGCUUUUGGGAGUUCGGUGCAAGUCCAAGGGCAGCUGGUCAAAAGUCUAUCCAAGAGCAAAAUGUGGAACUGAAGGCAGAAAAAAUAGAGGUGAUUGGAAAUUGUGAAGCCAAGGCGUUCCCUAUAAAAUAUAAGGAGAGGCAUCCCCUGGAGUACCUGAGACAGUAUCCUCACCUGAGGUGUAGGACUAACGCUCUGGGUUCAAUAUUGCGAGUUCGCAGUGAAGCCACAGCUGCUAUUCAUUCCUACUUUAAGGUAAGGUGCCCUGCUUCCAAGUGUGCUUUUUAGUGCAGUUUGAAUCAUUAUAAGCCUGGAGCAUUUGCCUGAAAGAUCUUAUUUGUUCUAAACACCCUUUAUCUUAUAAAGAACUAGAUGUCACAGACAUGCAUAUCUGUCUUCUCCCUUUUCUCCUUUUCUUGUGUGUGGUUUAAUAACAUUAUUGAGGAGUAGCUUGCAUACAAUACUGUGCAUAUUGAAAGUGUAUGGUCUGAUGAGUUU